Molecule: transfer RNA, 72 nt
Filed under: Marmota marmota marmota (Alpine marmot)
Lineage: Eukaryota; Metazoa; Chordata; Mammalia; Rodentia; Sciuridae
Also listed under: 2 other names
Rfam family: tRNA
About the family: Transfer RNA (tRNA) molecules are approximately 80 nucleotides in length. Their secondary structure includes four short double-helical elements and three loops (D, anti-codon, and T loops).
Source: Rfam by way of RNAcentral
GGAGGUGUAGCUCAGCGGUAGAGUGCCUGCUUAGCAUGCAGAACAGCCUGGGUUCCAUCUCCAGCAUCCCUU